CUUCCCUGCAAAAACUCUUGUUAGCAAAAAUAAAAAGGACAAAGUGAAGAGUUUCCUACAGCUGAGGUUAAAAAGUUUGUGGCAGCCACUAUAUAUCAAGGCUAGAUGUAAAAGGAAGCAAUGUUGGACUUCUAACAAGGAAAUACAAUACCUAAAAAUGUGCCUUUUGCUCAGAAUGACUGGCCAAGUGAGUUCAGACAGUGCACUCGAAAGUACAAGAAGUUCAAACAGUUUCCUGCAUGAGAUAUAGAAUGUCAAGCAAAAUAUUCAACAUGGAAAGGUGAACUUAGUCAGCAAACAACUUUUGAAAGCUAGUCAAGCUCAAGAGUAACAAAUCAAACUAUAUUGGAGGACUUUCGAGCAAAGGUCUAUUCCAUAAUCAGAAAGAAUGCCACCUCAAGAACCCAUCAAGAGUCAAAGAAGAUAACUAACCGGUAUUAGGCGUGACCCAGGUACACCUCUUCUUUGAUUGUGAACCAUCAGGUGGAGAAUCCAAAGCACCA
Prosopis cineraria is the source of this 503-nucleotide long non-coding RNA. RefSeq lists it as uncharacterized. The record is from RefSeq and is a predicted model, not a curated record. NCBI's taxonomy places the organism in Eukaryota, Viridiplantae, Streptophyta, Magnoliopsida, Fabales, Fabaceae. The transcript has 3 exons.